RNAcentral lists this ribosomal RNA (253 nucleotides) under uncultured bacterium. RNAcentral's name for it is "partial 16S ribosomal RNA". It matches the Rfam family "Bacterial small subunit ribosomal RNA", at positions 524 to 776 of the family's 1533-position model. The record is from RNAcentral.
UACGGAAGGUGCAAGCGUUAAUCGGAAUUACUGGGCGUAAAGCGCGCGUAGGCGGCUUGGUAAGUCGGAUGUGAAAGCCCCGGGCUCAACCUGGGAACUGCAUUCGAUACUGCCGGGCUGGAGUACGAGAGAGGGGGGUGGAAUUCCAGGUGUAGCGGUGAAAUGCGUAGAGAUCUGGAGGAACACCAGUGGCGAAGGCGGCCCCCUGGUUCGAUACUGACGCUGAGGUGCGAAAGCGUGGGGAGCAAACAGG